AGUGAACGCUGGCGGUAGGCCUAACACAUGCAAGUCGAACGGCAGCACAGUAAGAGCUUGCUCUUACGGGUGGCGAGUGGCGGACGGGUGGGGAAUACAUCGGAAUCUACUUUUUCGUGGGGGAUAACGUAGGGAAACUUACGCUAAUACCGCAUACGACCUACGGGUGAAAGCAGGGGAUCUUCGGACCUUGCGCGAUUGAAUGAGCCGAUGUCGGAUUAGCUAGUUGGCGGGGUAAAGGCCCACCAAGGCGACGAUCCGUAGCUGGUCUGAGAGGAUGAUCAGCCACACUGGAACUGAGACACGGUCCAGACUCCUACGGGAGGCAGCAGUGGGGAAUAUUGGACAAUGGGCGCGAGCCUGAUCCAGCCAUACCGCGUGGGUGAAGAAGGCCUUCGGGUUGUAAAGCCCUUUUGUUGGGAAAGAAAAGCAGCAGGUUAAUACCCCGCUGUUCUGACGGUACCCAAAGAAUAAGCACCGGCUAACUUCGUG
Molecule: ribosomal RNA, 492 nt
Filed under: uncultured bacterium
Lineage: Bacteria
Description: partial 16S ribosomal RNA
Rfam family: Bacterial small subunit ribosomal RNA
Source: RNAcentral